RNAcentral lists this microRNA precursor (287 nucleotides) under Oryza barthii. RNAcentral describes it as "MIR812 microRNA precursor family". It matches the Rfam family "MIR812 microRNA precursor family". The record is from Rfam by way of RNAcentral. Lineage: Eukaryota; Viridiplantae; Streptophyta; Magnoliopsida; Poales; Poaceae.
AAUACGUGUAAUUUUGCACUGUUCAUAUUUAACGUUUGACCGUUUAUCUUAUUUGAAAUUUUUUUAUGAUUAAUAUUUUUAUUGUUAUUAGAUGAUAAAACAUCAAUAGUACUUUAUGUGCGUGUGUUCAUAGGGGUGAGCGUGCGUUGUGAGUGUCUGCGUAGUACUGUGUAAUUCUAAAAAAAAAAAAGUACUUUAUGUGUGACAUUUUUUUAAUUUUUUUCAUAAAUUUUUAAAUAAGAUGGACGGUCAAAGAUCAGACGUGGAUUUUCAUAGCUGCACUUAUU